AUGAAGAACGUAGCGAAAUGCGAUAAGUAAUGUGAAUUGCAGAAUUCAGUGAAUCAUCGAAUCUUUGAACGCACAUUGCGCCCGCCAGUAUUCUGGCGGGCAUGCCUGUUCGAGCGUCAUUACAACCCUCAGGCCCCCGGGCCUGGCGUUGGGGAUCGGCGGAGCCCCCCGUGGGCACACGCCGUCCCCCAAAUGCAGUGGCGGUCCCGCCGCAGCUUCCAUCGCGUAGUAGCUAACACCUCGCGACUGGAGAGCGGCGCGACCACGCCGUAAAACACCCAACUCUUCUGAAGUUGACCUCGAAUCAGGUAGGAAUACCCGCUGAACUUAAGCAUAUCAAUAAGCGGAGGA
Molecule: unclassified non-coding RNA, 351 nt
Filed under: soil metagenome
Description: partial contains 5.8S ribosomal RNA, internal transcribed spacer 2, and large subunit ribosomal RNA
Rfam family: 5.8S ribosomal RNA (bases 1-119)
Source: RNAcentral